RNAcentral lists this long non-coding RNA (752 nucleotides) under Zea mays. RNAcentral describes it as "long non-coding RNA (ZMAY_LNC002417)". Lineage: Eukaryota; Viridiplantae; Streptophyta; Magnoliopsida; Poales; Poaceae. The record is from RNAcentral.
GUCAACAGAGCCAUGCUUAGCCUCGCCCCGGACCUUGGGUUCGCACUAGCGAGCUCACCUGUAGGUUUGGCCAUGGCUCCUGUAGUGUCUAGACCAUGUGUUCCUCCCUCGCCUAGCCCCACAUCGGCACGCCUCACCUCAGCCCGACUAGGCGCCGACACCCAGCGAGCUCCUCCUCCGCAAGCAAACUGUGGCAUGGGAUGCUGAGCUCGCCUAGAUCAUGUGCGCCCCUGUGUUUCCCCUCAUGGCGCGCCCUGCGCACCAUUGCUGACAUGCUCUACCUUGCUGUCCGCCCCACCUAAAUCCUAGCAGCAGCUCGUGCAUCAGUUCCCCCAUACGUAGCCAUGGUGGUGCUCUACUCACCAUGCUAACCACAACAGCAAGCCCCAAGCCACUCUCCUCUUUGCUCAGUCUGCUCAACGAAAUGCCCUCAGUGCACUCUGCUGCCCCCAUGCCAUGUCACCUGCGCGAGUGUUCGUCAAGAGCAGCCGCGUCGUCGAUCUGUGCAGCCACGACGUCUCCGCGUCUCGCUUCGCCGGAUUUGCACAGCGCUUGCUCAUCGUCGUCAAGAUCCUUGGUGAGCCCCUUGCUAGUAUCCCAUUGUUUUUGAAUCUCAAGUGCUUGAUAAAAAUGUUUGAACAUUUGGGUGUUGUUAAUCGCAGCUAGAUGUUGCCGCUGUGCCUCGCCCGGCACAUGGUUCGGUGAAGCGCCUAAACCGUGAACGGCAUGCGCGACUCGAAUCCGAGUUUGAC